GGGUUGUGAGGUUAAGCGACUAAGCGUACACGGUGGAUGCCCUGGCAGUCAGAGGCGAUGAAGGACGUGCUAAUCUGCGAUAAGCGUCGGUGAGGUGAUAUGAACCGUUAUAACCGGCGAUUUCCGAAUGGGGAAACCCAGUGUGUUUCGACACACUAUCAUUAACUGAAUCCAUAGGUUAAUGAGGCGAACCGGGGGAACUGAAACAUCUAAGUACCCCGAGGAAAAGAAAUCAACCGAGAUUCCCCCAGUAGCGGCGAGCGAACGGGGAGGAGCCCAGAGCCUGAAUCAGUGUGUGUGUUAGUGGAAGCGUCUGGAAAGGCGCGCGAUACAGGGUGACAGCCCCGUACACAAAAAUGCACAUAUUGUGAGCUCGAUGAGUAGGGCGGGACACGUGGUAUCCUGUCUGAAUAUGGGGGGACCAUCCUCCAAGGCUAAAUACUCCUGACUGACCGAUAGUGAACCAGUACCGUGAGGGAAAGGCGAAAAGAACCCCGGCGAGGGGAGUGAAAAAGAACCUGAAACCGUGUACGUACAAGCAGUGGGAGCCUCUUUAUGGGGUGACUGCGUACCUUUUGUAUAAUGGGUCAGCGACUUAUAUUCUGUAGCAAGGUUAACCGAAUAGGGGAGCCGAAGGGAAACCGAGUCUUAACUGGGCGUUAAGUUGCAGGGUAUAGACCCGAAACCCGGUGAUCUAGCCAUGGGCAGGUUGAAGGUUGGGUAACACUAACUGGAGGACCGAACCGACUAAUGUUGAAAAAUUAGCGGAUGACUUGUGGCUGGGGGUGAAAGGCCAAUCAAACCGGGAGAUAGCUGGUUCUCCCCGAAAGCUAUUUAGGUAGCGCCUCGUGAAUUCAUCUCCGGGGGUAGAGCACUGUUUCGGCAAGGGGGUCAUCCCGACUUACCAACCCGAUGCAAACUGCGAAUACCGGAGAAUGUUAUCACGGGAGACACACGGCGGGUGCUAACGUCCGUCGUGAAGAGGGAAACAACCCAGACCGCCAGCUAAGGUCCCAAAGUCAUGGUUAAGUGGGAAACGAUGUGGGAAGGCCCAGACAGCCAGGAUGUUGGCUUAGAAGCAGCCAUCAUUUAAAGAAAGCGUAAUAGCUCACUGGUCGAGUCGGCCUGCGCGGAAGAUGUAACGGGGCUAAACCAUGCACCGAAGCUGCGGCAGCGACACUAUGUGUUGUUGGGUAGGGGAGCGUUCUGUAAGCCUGUGAAGGUGGCCUGUGAGGGUUGCUGGAGGUAUCAGAAGUGCGAAUGCUGACAUAAGUAACGAUAAAGCGGGUGAAAAGCCCGCUCGCCGGAAGACCAAGGGUUCCUGUCCAACGUUAAUCGGGGCAGGGUGAGUCGACCCCUAAGGCGAGGCCGAAAGGCGUAGUCGAUGGGAAACAGGUUAAUAUUCCUGUACUUGGUGUUACUGCGAAGGGGGGACGGAGAAGGCUAUGUUGGCCGGGCGACGGUUGUCCCGGUUUAAGCGUGUAGGCUGGUUUUCCAGGCAAAUCCGGAAAACCAAGGCUGAGGCGUG
Molecule: ribosomal RNA, 1528 nt
Filed under: Escherichia coli
Lineage: Bacteria; Pseudomonadati; Pseudomonadota; Gammaproteobacteria; Enterobacterales; Enterobacteriaceae
Description: partial 23S ribosomal RNA
Rfam family: Bacterial large subunit ribosomal RNA
Source: RNAcentral